UACGUAGGGGGCAAGCGUUGUCCGGAAUCAUUGGGCGUAAAGAGCGCGUAGGCGGUCCGGUAAGUCCGCUGUGAAAGUCGGGGGCUCAACCCUCGAAUGCCGGCGGAUACUGCCGGGCUAGAGUCCGGAAGAGGCGAGUGGAAUUCCUGGUGUAGCGGUGAAAUGCGCAGAUAUCAGGAGGAACACCAAUGGCGAAGGCAGCUCGCUGGGACGGUACUGACGCUGAGGCGCGAAAGCGUGGGGAGCAAACAGG
This 253-nucleotide ribosomal RNA is filed under the name uncultured bacterium. RNAcentral describes it as "partial 16S ribosomal RNA". It matches the Rfam family "Bacterial small subunit ribosomal RNA", at positions 524 to 776 of the family's 1533-position model. The record is from RNAcentral.